UUUUCGGUUACAGGGGCACCAACGUUUGCUAAUUGAUCGGAUAUAACCUUUGUUUCUUGACAAUAGGCAGCCAUGGAUUGAAAGGAGUCGAGUUUAAGGUUUGUAAACUUUUUCUGCAGUAAAACGACACGAGUGGCUUCAUUGUCAUGAAAGAGGCUUUUGAGUGCCGCCCAAGCGUAACAGGCUGUGGAAUCAGGACGGAUAAUGGUGCUUAGUAAGUCAUUUGAUAUGGUCGGGUUGAGGUGUGGACGUGCACUCGGGUUUCAGGGAAAGGUGGUUUAGCACUUGAAAGGCGCGGCAAUGGAUUUUGAAUAAUUCCGCCCACGAAGCAUAUUGGCUGGAUUCGAUUUCGAGAGUGAUCGGAAUGAAGUUUUUGAUGUUGGUAACGGUGAUUGCGGGAUGUGUUUUAGGAUCCAUGGGGUAAUAAGAAGGUUGUUG
This 438-nucleotide long non-coding RNA is filed under the name Helianthus annuus (common sunflower). Lineage: Eukaryota; Viridiplantae; Streptophyta; Magnoliopsida; Asterales; Asteraceae. The record is from RNAcentral.